This is a long non-coding RNA of Passer domesticus (house sparrow), 554 nucleotides long. RefSeq lists it as uncharacterized. Lineage: Eukaryota; Metazoa; Chordata; Aves; Passeriformes; Passeridae. The record is from RefSeq and is a predicted model, not a curated record. The transcript is spliced from 2 exons.
CGUUCGGGUCGCUGAGGGUCACCACAACCUGAGGGGAAGCACAAAGGUGACAUCAGCCUCGUAGCUUCUGAGUGACCACCAAAUACCAGGGACCACCAAAUGCUGGUGGGCUCACAUGGUGCCAGCAAGAGAAGUCACACACAGCUUCAGCCAGUGACAUCUAGCAAACAAGCUGAUGCUCACACAAACAAGUUGAUGCUAACAACAGAAGAUAUGAAAAAAAAUGAAGAGCUUAUUGGUCCAACUUCUUGAGUUUUUAAACCCAUCUUUGUGUUACCACACAUUUAUACAAUCAGCUCCAAAUCUUCCAACCACUCUUUUGUGAUGCUUUUUGAACCAAAAGAAGGAUUAUCCCUCUAAGUAGUGCCACCCAUCACCCUCCUCCUGCAGCUCACCUGUUGGAUGCUCUGUACAGCUGAAUUGGUCUCAUCUCCAACAUUCCCCGUGAAUUCACCUUCCUUCUCUGUGUAUUCACUGAAGGCAGGGUCCUCAGGCACUUGAGCUUCCUCCUCCUCACCUGACUUUUGUUUUUGUUCCUGGCCAUGUUUAGGAAC